RNAcentral lists this long non-coding RNA (988 nucleotides) under Papio anubis (olive baboon). RNAcentral's name for it is "lncRNA (ENSPANG00000039476.1)". Lineage: Eukaryota; Metazoa; Chordata; Mammalia; Primates; Cercopithecidae. The record is from RNAcentral.
AUGCAUAGUCACCUAGAACCAGAUGCCAUUUUCCAAACUGUUUUGCUCAACAGGGAAAGUAAGCUUAUUGUAGCAAGUUGUGUUGAUGCCACAAGAUGCCACCCUUCCCUUGAAAAGAAGAGACUAAAGGUCUUGUAUCUUGUUCUACCCACCCAGAGCUUCUCUACAUCUAAGUCACCUGGGCUAUUUCUCCUCUUACAGAAAGGGCUUCUUAUUUGCCUUCUUAACUGACAGGAACUGCCUCAAUAACUUGUUACCCUUCUGCCCAGGAGAUAUUUAUCCUCCUCUUCUUCUGUAAGGCGGAAAAAAAAAUAAAAAAGGGAAGAAGAAGCAGUCCAGUGGGGUGCAGUGGCUCCUUCCUGUAAUUCCAGCACUUUGGGAGGAUGAGAUGGGAGGACUGCUUGAGGCCAGGAGUUUGAGACCAGUCUGGACCACAGAUCAAGACCCUGUUGCUGUCGCUACUAAAAAAAAAAGUGAAGGCCUACUGGGAAAGAAACAAUUACCAAGAAGGACACAUCUGCUAGAAGGUAUUUAAACAAUAUUCCCACUGCGUACACAAAUGCAAAUGGCAUUUGAUCAUAACUCUCUCUCUUUCUCUGUCUGCCACACCCUAGCCCCAUGCUUGCUUUAGCACAACAGAUCGUGCCUAUUAUUCACAAAUGAUUUCUCUUACCUUCCUAGGCCUGGCACUUAUUUGGGAGGAUGAACAGAAGUCAUCAGCCCAUGAGAUCUUCAGAGGGUCCAUGACGAUGUUGCACCCUGAGUCACAGGCUAAAUGUCUAGAACAGUCAGAUGCUUGCUGGGAACCCAGAUGAGGUUUCUGUGAGUAGGAUGAAUCACUGCAAUCAGUGAAGCUAGAAGUGUAGGUUUUUGAGGAGGUCUAAUUACAAGAUUUUGAUAUGUUCUGUAACUGCAUACACUGAGGCAGAAAACUAAAUAACCCAACUUAGUAAGAAAAACAAGAGAAAAAAAAUCCAUUUUUAUCUCA